RNAcentral lists this ribosomal RNA (253 nucleotides) under uncultured bacterium. Its description in RNAcentral is "partial 16S ribosomal RNA". It matches the Rfam family "Bacterial small subunit ribosomal RNA", at positions 524 to 776 of the family's 1533-position model. The record is from RNAcentral.
UACGGAGGGUGCGAGCGUUGUCCGGAAUCAUUGGGCGUAAAGGGCGCGUAGGUGGCGGGACAAGCGUGCGGUGGAAGCCUGGGGCUCAACCCCGGGUCGGCCGUGCGAACUGUUUUGCUUGAGCACUGUAGAGGCAGGCGGAAUUCCGGGUGUAGCGGUGGAAUGCGUAGAGAUCCGGAAGAACACCGGUGGCGAAGGCGGCCUGCUGGGCAGUAGCUGACACUGAGGCGCGACAGCGUGGGGAGCAAACAGG